This 1529-nucleotide long non-coding RNA is filed under the name Olea europaea subsp. europaea. Lineage: Eukaryota; Viridiplantae; Streptophyta; Magnoliopsida; Lamiales; Oleaceae. The record is from RNAcentral.
GUUGAUUAUAGAUCAAAGUGAUAAGUCCCCAAAAACAUAAACCUACCGUACAAUCAAGAAAUUGAAAAAAAAAAUUUCCACAUAUUUCUUCCUAUCAAUUUCAAAAUUCAGAGUCAAAAUGUAGUCUGUCAGAUAAUAACUACGAAAUUUCCUGUUGUUCCUUCUUAAAUUUUGCCAAAAAAAUCAGAAAUCUACAUCUCUAUACCACCUUAGAAAUUUAUUUAUUUAUUAUUUUGGUGUUAAUUUCGUCUCCUCUUUCAAUUUCAUUCUACCAUCAGUACAGGGAGCGCAUAUUUCCAGGUAACAUGCUCAUUUUACUUUGAAGCUUUUUAUUAUGGAAUUUUCUGAAUUUUGAUUCCAAAGUAGCAGUAAAUAAUUCUUGAUUUGAGAUUUUUGUUUGCUUUUUCGUUAAAUGUUUAUGAUUUAAGUAAUUUCUAUUUAAAAUUAUUCAGUAGCUCAAUAAGUAGUUAUCUUCUAAUUCUUAAUCGUUAGCCAUUUUCAUUUUGUUGUUUUGUACAUCAUGUCAAUUCUAGUUUGACAUUUUCAAAUAGAAUAUUUUUGCCUAAGUUUACAACGUGUUUAUAAGAACUAAAAUUAAUGUUUAGAUGUUACCUUUAAAUUUUUGUUUGCUAAAUAUGUAUUAGAAAGUGCAAAUGUUCGCAUUUCCUUGUUAAUUUCAUGUCAAUUUCAAUUUCAACUUUUCAUUUCCAGGGUUUCAAUUUAUAUUGUUAAUAUUCAAAGGAUUGGUACUGAAAUCGGUAGUACAUUUAGGGUGGUGUCCUUGGUGUUGCGGUUUGCUUCUGGUGGUGGCUUGAAUUUUUUGACGAUUUUGCAUUGUCAGCUAUUAUUUUGUCAUAUUAUGAGUGAAAUAGUGUAAUUUGGCUUUUUGUAACAAUAAUUUGUUAUGAAGAGAAGGGAACUCAGCUGACUUGGGGAGAAAAGAAGAAGAGGAAUCCCAGAAACAGAGAAAAAUGAAGCAGCCAACGGUCAUCUACAAAUUUGAAGUCCGAAGGAAAUGGCAUCAUUUGUUGUUGUCAACUCCUAUUUUACGUUUUAUUGAGUUGUAUUAGGAAAGCAGGCUUUUGGCGGUUUAAGAAAGUAGACGAGAAGAGGCAGAAGGGUGUGAACGAUUUGUGCGUGGUUUCCAUAUUUCUUCUCUGACCUCAGUUUCUUUUUCUUCUUCUUCAAAAUCUACCUUUUUAAUUUUUGUUAAAUUCUCACUGUGAUAGACACUUUGUCUCAAAAUUAAUCAUUGGGUGUUGAGUUUUGUUUAAUUUCUGAUUUAUCACUGUGUUUGAUUGUGUCCCAGGUUGAGAAUUGAAGCUCAACUAUAACAUUUGGCAUCAAAGUAGCAACGUGACUUGGGUAUGGCUGAAACUAGGAGUAAAUCUAAUGAGGAACACCUUAAGAAGCUAGACAAGGAAAUAUCAGACUUGGGUAUUGAUGCGAACAUCCAUUUACUAUUUAUUUUCUAUUUGGACUAUUAGUUAUAUUCUAUUUGGAUUAUUAUUUAUAUUUCUAUUAUUGAG